GGAGGACGGUCUCAAGAUUCUGCGGGAGAUGUCCAACCUUAAGGUUCUCGUUCUGUAUUUCGAAGUCGUUCCGAGAGAGCCGGUAGCCAUCAGAGGUGGAGGGUUUCCCAGGCUUAUGAAACUCACUAUUUACAGUCGAGUGCCACGGGUGUUCUUCCAGGAAGGAGCUAUGCCCAUGCUUGAAUGGCUUGUUAUCGUGUUCCAGUUCUAUGCUGGCCCACCAAAUAGAGAUCCUGUCGGUAUCAAUCAUCUCACGAAACUCAGCGUAGUCGAGAUUCGCUGUGAAGAGAAAUGGUACAGCACAGACACCCCGUGCAUCAGCGCCACAAUUGACGUCCUUAGAGAAGAAGCAUGGGAGCAUCGCAACGAUGUGUUAUUUUCUGUCACUGCUUACAGUUCAGGGACUUACGCAGCGAACAAAAAUAGUGCAGAUAUUUUGGAAGAGGUCAAUGACGCUUGCAGCAGUGAGACGGGCGAGUUCGAACGAGGAGGAGAGCAGCAGCAGGGUGAGAUGGAGGAAGAGGGGAGCCAGGCAUAAUUGCUAGCCUUGACCAGCAUUCACGAAAUAUAAUGAUGCAGGCUAUGUGGCGCUUCCCCGCGUGUCUUCCAUCCUAGACGUGGUGACAUCGGGGCUACACAAGACACACAACACUCUUCUUCGGAAAAUGCAGGCUGAGCUUUCCCUGUCGGCCUGUACUACAACACUACCGAUGAUUCUUGGCUGCCACCGAUGAUUCCUCGGCCUUUCCCUCUGCCGUCUCCAGCCAAAUCUGGGAGGUUCUCUUGUAGGCGAGGUGGUGGCCGACCUGGCUGGACGGGAUGCUUGAUGCAUGGCUAGUCCGUGGUUGCCUGAUCCUAGUGAUGGCACUUCACUCGUAGUAUACAUGUUUUGAUCCGCCGUAUCUUGUGGUUGAUGUUCUCCGGACGAUGCUGGCAACCAUCGUGGUCGGUUGUGUUCUAUUUGGAUCUAUUUGGGAUACCCAAGAC
Long non-coding RNA from Triticum aestivum (bread wheat), 987 nucleotides. RefSeq lists it as uncharacterized. Lineage: Eukaryota; Viridiplantae; Streptophyta; Magnoliopsida; Poales; Poaceae. The record is from RefSeq and is a predicted model, not a curated record. The transcript has 3 exons.